Molecule: long non-coding RNA, 4324 nt
Organism: Zea mays
Lineage: Eukaryota; Viridiplantae; Streptophyta; Magnoliopsida; Poales; Poaceae
Exons: 6
Source: RefSeq, a predicted model, not a curated record
UCUCGCCCUACUUGUCGAGAAGCGACCACCCCUCUGCUUCUCUCUUGAGUCUCAUUCACCCCCUUCUCCCAAAACCCUAACCCCUAGACUUCCCAAUAUGGCGUCGCAUCCCCCAUUAGCCGUCGUGGCAUCCGGAUCGCAGCCGCCACGGAUCCAGUUGGCAGCAUCAGCCCCGCGGUCGUGUCCACCACACUGCCGGUGGUCGUCGUCAAGUUCGAGACGCCGUUCAUGCUCUUGGCCCAACCUGCCGCGACGCUCCAACUGGGUACGCGACGUACUUGUCCAUCUUGGAGAAGCCCCCGCCGUGACCUCUGCCGCACCCUCAACACCCCUCCCCGCGCGUGAUAGGAUCUGGGAGCGGCAAGAGGUCGCCCCCCAUCUUCAGCAACGAGCUCGUACCUUCCCCUUCCUCCCCUCCCCACCACCAUCACACCGCCAAGCGUGCCCACUGCUUACUCGUUUGUUUUUUUACAAGUUCAGAUCCACAAGCAUACUCACAUAGUGAACAUACCCACAUGAUUUUGUUAUGCACAUGUGUAACCAGCAUAAGAAUUAGGAGCAAGCUUUAAUGUUUAUGCUCAUUUUAUCUAUGAAAUUCUUACACUAAAAAUGCAUGUGCUAUUCUUGCUUGAGAAUAACAGAAUCUAUUUAUCUUAUACUUUUUUCAUAGGUUGUUAUUGUCAAACCAAAUUAUGUGCCUAUAUAAGUUGCACUUAUGGAUUAUGCGUUCGAGUAUAAAUUGCACCUGCAUUUUGGUAUGUCGUUGCUUAUUUUGGUAAUUUAUCAUCCUAUUCUUUCUCUUUGUGUUCAUUAUGUGCGCCCUCAUUUCUGCUUCUAUGACCCUGCAUGUUCUCGAUGGUGUUCAAUAAGGAUUUGGUCAUCAGCAAUGAUGUGUUUUAAGUUUCUCUUCUCUUGUAUGUCCACGUGCAUCGACUCAGGUAUCCAUUUCACUUGAUUGUGCUCCUACCUGCUCUUUUUGGCGGAGAUAGGUGCCUUGGAAUGCCAUUACAAAAUGCAUUUCCAUGGUCUUUCCAUGUUCUCAUUUGUUUCAUGCCUACAAGUGCCUUGUCCGUAUACCGUUUCACGCUGAUUUGUUGAGCAACCUGUCUUUGUAUAGCCAGCCAUCUUUCAAUGCGUUGUGAGUGGAUGCUCAUGUCAUUCUCCCAAUUUUCCUUGUUGAAUUUUACCAUGCCCUUGUAUUACAGUUAUUUAUACAUUCCUAUGUCUUGUGACCUGUAAGUAAAGUCUACAUAUGACAAUUUCAGUACAUUAGUUCAUACUAAAAAGAAACGUUUGGACCAUAGAAAGCUUUCUGUUAGCCACAUGUUACCUUUUGGUAGAUCUACUACGUUCUAGUACUCUGAUUUGUCAAACUAACGACAUAGAAUUUAACAGAUUUUAAAGAUCAUGUGAUUGAGCAUUUAAGUUAUUGCCUUUGAAGAAGAUUUAAAUUUUGCGACAACAGCCCCAUCAGAGGCAUGAAUCCUAAAGACCAUGCCAUCAACUCCUGUCGUACUACCGUGUUCUUAUAAAUUGUGUUUUCUCGAUGUAACAUUGCUCUGAUUUAUGUGUACUAACUAACACUAGAUUAUUUUUUAUUCCAAUCUAUUAUAUAUGGUUAUAAAUGUAACAUAAUUAUAUCUGGUAGAUUGGCCUAUAGAUUUAACACUUGACACACGAACUCGGUGAAAAAUAUCUGUCUAUAUGCAUUAUGAGAUGAUAUAGUGACACUUAAGAUAUUUUUAUGGAACUGAAAAUCUAACAUUAUUAUUUAUUCAUCAACUCAUAUGUUACAUGUAUUGAUAAAUCAUUUAUGUUGCUUGCUGAAAUGUUUAUUUAGUAACAUGUGCACCUUGUUUUUGCCAAGGUUUUUUGGUAGGAUCCAUCUUCUAUAUUUGCAUUUUUUGCUUGUAUGUGCAAUCUAUCCAAGUGCGCUGCAACAGCAUACAAUAGGUUGAUGAAUAAAUAUUUCCAUUGUUGCAUCAGUAUAAAGCAUAACAUUGUUCAAACACCUAAAGUAGUUAUAUCUUUGCUCAAUUGUUCCCAUAGCUGUGUGAGUAUGCCGGUGCAGGGGCCAAAAUCUUUUCGCCGCAUAACAACAGUGGCAUUCUUGAUGUAGGGGAUAUCGAGUUAAUGUCUUUCAUUGAAGCAUCAGGUAAAUUUUCAUACCGUGUUGGUAAGAAAACAACAACUCUUUUCUAAGCACAAAUGUUACCUUUUAGCCUGGUCCUUUACUCCUUUUACUAUUUUUUAUUUGUAGUCUGCUCAUUCCUACUUUGUGUUGUAUCACCUAGGAACUUCUGUCUCGUUCAUGCUAGUCUUGUUUCAGAUCUAAAUGUAGACGAAAACUAAGCCUACUGCUACACAACAUAUUGUUCGAGGACUUGGGUUAGUACCUGAUGUUUUAGCAUGUUGCAGCACUGAGCCAUUGGAGGAACAUGUGAAGGCCAAGCUUUCACAAUUUUGCCAUGUCCCAUUAAUGAUAAUGAUCGUCCCAUUACAAGGCCCCUUUUGAGUUUUUACCCUUGUUCUUGUGUUGACAACACAACUUGUGUAGCAGGUCUCAAAUAUAGUGAACCUCCAUGACGUGACAAACAUUUGGCACAUCCCCUUACUGCUAAGGGACCAAAAGGCCGAUGAAGCUAUUCUGGAAGUUUUAGACCGUUGGUAGUAUGUACUUUUGCAUGAUUACAUCAAAUGUUCAUAAUGUAGUUUGAACAUAACUCAAGAAUUUUCAGUAGUAUUUUACUGUAAUAUAAAUUGCAUCACUGGUGUUGUUUCGUGUGUAUCACCAAUAACUAAAAGUAGAGCAACAGUUUUGGAGAAGCUGACAUCAUCAUUAUCUUCUGAUGACCCGUAAACCAUUAUUCCCCAAUCUAGAGUUAUCAUUGCAGUGGAAAAGUCAAUGUGACUACCUUCAAAAGAAGGUAUAUAUUUGCUGUUCGGGUAAACUUUCAGUGCAACAGUAAAAUAAAGGACUAAACCUAAAGUUGUUCUCUUUUUGUGUCACUCCUUUUUGUUUGUAGCAUACUUGUACAUAUUCUUCUUGCAAUGUUAGGAUCUGCAUGGAAAUCUGCAUGAGUGAGUACACCUUUCAUUACCUUGUCAAUUUGUAGAAACUAUUGUUCUCUCACCUGUCAAAUCUAUAUCCCUAAAUAAAAUAUCAGUUCAAAUUAAUCUAGAUCCACCCAACAAUUGACCCUCACUGAGAUGUGUUUUUUUGUGCACCCCAUUUUGUACACAUAAGAAAUCCUUAUCUAUCACAUUGAAUCAUCUAGAUCUCUUCUCCAUUGUUUCUCUCACUCACAUCUAUUAAGGUAUGUAAACAUUCACUUUAGUAAUGCUAACAAAAGAAUAAAAUAACAAUUAGUGUUUUGUAUAUCAAUGUAUUUUGUCAUAUUGAUUUGUAGGUUGUUGAAUGGCUUGAAUAUGUCCCCAUCUUUCUUUUAGGCUUUGAAUUUGAAAAUGCUUGCUUAUUCAUCGAUGGAUUCUUAGCCUCCUAGACCUUUCUGGUUGGUCAUGGCCUCACAAUUGCUGACAUUGUAGUUUGGUCAAAUCUUGCUGGCGAGGAUGGCAUCCCACAUUGGAUGAUGCGACAGGCAGGGCGGUACAUGGCGAAGUACCAGGCAUCGACUAAGGGGAAACCCACAUUCGGCCAUCGGGUUCGGGGAGCUCCCAGCUGCGAGGUUUUGAGAUUUUGACCUCAAGGUCCAAGGAGAUGCUUAUGGCGUCGAUGUCAGACAUCAAGACAACAAAACGGGGCAGCAUGUGGGAACUGGAUCAGAACCUUGAUCAGCCCAAUGACAAGGAUGUCAGUCAACUGAAGGACAUGUACAGAUAAAUGGUCAAGAUGAUUACUCUUGGAGGUUCUUCUGAACUGGACUUGUUGAUUACAUGGACCCAUUUUCAGAAGGUGUUGUUUUCAGUGUGAGGCCUACAAAGAAAAGUUGGAAAACAUUUCCAAUAUAUCUUGUGGUGAGAAGCUACAGCCGAAGCAGUAGCCAGCUGAACAUGUUGACAUGUUAUUGCGGUGGUCAAGGCUCAGGAUUCAGAGCAGAAGAUGCACAUAAAUACUGGUGAAUGAUGCCAUCGACGAUGAUGAAUUGAUGAAACGAUGGAUGAUGCCAUCGAUGAAAGAUGGAAUGGAACUCAAAUUUUGGUGGUCGCACAAGUGUGGAGACAUGAAUUUAUAUAUACUUAGUUAGGCUCAAUGUUAGCACAAAUAGUUGAUGAGCAAGUUUAAAUUUAGAGUACACUUAUGUAUGAGUUAUUUGACAAUGCUUAUUUAUGAGAUAUUGAAUGUUAUUUAUCUAUAUUAUAUUAA